CUAUAAUCAAAUGCACUGUAUUGUGUGAUUUCUUCCCACCGGAUACCUCAGACAAAAACAGAACACUGAGAAAAGAUUGCACGUCUGCCUACAAAGAACUGCCUGGCUGCCAGUUUUGUUGAGAAGGAGAAAGGUAAAGAGACACCCUUUCUGCAGUGAAUUCCAGAACAAAGAUCUGGGGCCUGUUCAAGUCAUCCUAGCUGGCGACGCGGUUUCCUAUCAAGAAAUCUUAGAAAGUCAAAUGGCAUCUGCGAGUUAAUCAGCAGCAGUGAGAUCAGUUAUGAGCAGGUGCUGUGUCACCUUGAAGCGGGAUGGGCAGAUUCUUCUGACGCCAGAACACCGGAAGUUUCCAGGAGUGGCAGGACAUCCGGCUGUUGUUAUUCUUGGCCCUGCCCAGUGCAAGCAUAGAAAAGGCAGCUCGCUUAUUAGGGGUAUAAAUAAAGGCUCAAUUACCUCUUGCCGUGCUCAGGUGGCCAAAAACAUUAAUUAGGAGUCUGCUGUUCUGAGCUUGCAACUGCAACUGAACCCCUUAGGAACUUCCGGUCUUGCCUACGGCUGACCCCGGAGUCCUUUGACUCAGCCUAUAUGAGAGCGUCCCUGUCCCAGCUUGAAGAGAGUCACUCUCCUUUUUGACUCUUUUCCUGGGAGAUUCAAGGAAUGGUGUGUAUUGAGUGAAAGUUGUAUGCAUUUGUGCUUGUUUGUGUAAAUGCCCCUGAGAUCUGCGUGUGCUCUUAAUGUCAAAUCACAACACACUGUAGAAUUAGGAAUGCUGACCUCCUAGGCCCUGGGGGAAUCCUGGGUACUGCUAGGGUUCCUUACUGUUAUUUUGUAGUUGAAAACUCUUUUAAAUAAACAACAUGUACCUUAUGACAAAAUCAAGUAUCGCAAAAGUGGGCAGGAAGAUCUCAGUCUCUUUAUCCCUCUGUUUCUGUUUUCUUUGAGUCCCUUCUGAAAGUAUUUUGUUCUCUGGUCUUAAAAGGCACAUUUUCUGCUUUUCUCUUUCCUCUUCUUUCUUUCUUUCUCUCUUUCUCUCUUUCUUUAUUUCUCUCUUUCUUUCUUUCUUUCUUUCUUUGUUUUUUUUUUUUUGUUUGUUUGUUUUUUGUUUGUUUGAUUUGGUUUGGAGUUUUUUUCAGAGUUUUGAGACAGGGUUUCUUCACUCUUGUAGUUCGGGUUAGACUCGAACUCACUAUGCACAGGAGGCCACCUCUGACUUGAGAAUAGUAAUCUACUUGGCUUCCCAGGUGCUGGAUUACAGGUCUGAGCCCCCGCGCCCCAGCUCCUCUUUCAGAUAAAAGUGAAAACAUCCUCCACCUGCUGUUCUGAACCUUGUCAGAUUUUUUAAUUUAUUAAAGUUCUCCAAGAGGUUUCAAAGCAAAGUCUUUAGUAAGAGUCACUAAUAAAGGCCUCCCCUCUGUUCCCCAGGAAAAGCACUACAGAGACGUGUAUUAAAAAUACUUUAUAAGCCAGGCUUGUUUGUGCAUGUUUGUAAUUCUGGUACUUGGGAGGUAGGCGCAGGAUAAUCAGGAGUUUAGAGUCGUCCUUCUUCGCUAUGGAGUGUGUGUGAGGCCUCCUGAGUUACAAGGAACCCUGUCUCAAACAACGAACAAAGAAGCAUCAUUUACAAACAACUUCAUUAACUCUCCGAAAUCCACGGUGUAGAUAAAUCUAUUCAAAAGCCCUUGACCUUGGGGCUUCAUGCAUGGAUAUUUGAUACUUCCAGAUAAAAUAAAGCAUUCUCUAUUAAAUCUGAA
Molecule: long non-coding RNA, 1751 nt
Organism: Rattus norvegicus (Norway rat)
Lineage: Eukaryota; Metazoa; Chordata; Mammalia; Rodentia; Muridae
Source: RefSeq, a predicted model, not a curated record